This 6314-nucleotide long non-coding RNA is filed under the name Anas platyrhynchos platyrhynchos (common mallard). RNAcentral's name for it is "lncRNA (ENSAPLG00000019641.1)". The record is from RNAcentral. Lineage: Eukaryota; Metazoa; Chordata; Aves; Anseriformes; Anatidae.
UAAAAGAAGCCCUGACAUUCCAGUUGCUAUUGCUCCCAAAAGAAAAUGGUGAGCGGGUAACAGAAUUGCUUCUAACUUCCCUCUGCAAAAGGUCGUUGAACUCACUCAUCCUCAUCAACAAGCAUUAACACUGCAGAGUGUUUAUGAGCAGGCUGGGCACUAUUGCCAUUUGGGACUGGGACAUGGACCCAAGCAAUUGGGCCAUUUCAGAAGGGUCAUUGAGCUUGUACAAGCUAUAAUCCCAUUUGAAGUACAAAGAACCUGCCAGCAUGAUACAGGUUGAAUGGCAGACCUCAAACUUUGAUCACAGUGCCUUGGAAGUGGUAACAGCAGCUGUAAUCUAAGAAAUGCAGGACUGGGCCUGCUGACAGCUGUGUGCAGACAAGGCCAGGCAGGGGUCAGAUUAGUGAGCAGCAGAGAAAGGAGGCUGCAGCUGGGAGGUGUGGAGCUCCUGGAAAUGGAGCUUUCUCCAUUCCCCACGCAUUUUGUGUGCUAGCUAACGCGACAGAUUACUGUGUGCUGGUUGGGGGUAAGACACUGACUAAAACUAGAGUCCCCAUGUGUCAGGUGCUGAACAAAUGCCAGUCAGGAUAACUUCCUUCUCCAAACGACUUAAAGAGUGGCAGAGAGAUGAAGUGGCCUGACCUUGCUUAUCCUGCUCAGGUUAUUGGUUGCUGUCUGACCUAAGCUCUUAUAAAGUAACCCAAUACUCUGCCCCUCCAGAACAAACCCAGCAAAUGCUCCCUGCUGAGGAGCAGCAGUGAGUCCUUAGCAGGCUGCUCCCCAUCUGGAUAGGCUGUUAUUGGGGUGACUCAGGAGCUGCUUCACAAAAUGCAGGAAACGUUUCCCAUCUUUAUCCUGAUUGCAUCUGAACUAUUGGAUUUAUCUGGUGCCUCCAGAGACGAGCCCCACAUCAGUGGAGCACCAGGCCUGGGCUCUGCUGGGGGAGCCCAGCUGAGAGCCGAGAGCAGCCCGGUGCCCAGCGAGGAGCAACCCGUUACAGGAGCUGACUCGGAGGAGGUGACCUUCCACUUCCAGACUGCAGCAGUUGAUCCUACCAGUGAAAUGACAGCUGACUUCAUUGCUGUCCACACAGAGAGAGCUCCAAGAGCAACAGCCACGCUGCCUAAGGAGGUGGUUAGGAACUUGGAGGGGUCUGAUCGACUGCCUGCUUUAAAACUCCAGGAUGGAGAUGCAUUUCCUAACAAUCUCCUGAGUAAUGUAAGUGUCCCCUCCUCUGCACAAGGACCACAGGCCACCACCCAUCCAGAGCAGUCAGAGAGGUCAGUGCCAGGCAGAGCUCAAACUGUCCCCGAGGCUGCCCUCAGCCCGACCAGCAGUGCUGGGCUGCCCCAGCCCACUCCCACUGUGGGGGUGCACCAAGACUCUCGGGGGGUUGCAGCCAUCUCUCCCAUUCCUAUUCUCAAGCAGAGGGAGGUGCCAAGUCCUAAAAUUUCUCUUCUGACUUCAACGGUAAAUUUCCAUCCUCCAAGAAAAGAGACAGCAGCAUAUCCGUUUCCCACCAGUGUUAGGAUGGCUCUUGUAAAUGCAGGGGUGGGCCAGUUACCAGCACUAGCACCCCCCACUACAAAAAGGCCAAAGGAUGCAAGUCCCCAAGUCCAGCCUGACAGCAGAGCUGCUGUGACACCUGCAUACGUCAAGAGUGUAGAUGCUCAACUUACUACUUCUGUAAUCGCACAAAAGCCAGCUUCGGUCGGCCUUGAUGCAGCCUAUUUCAGAGUCAUGAAAACAACUGCUGUUCAGUUUCCCCCUCUUUUAUCUCUUAACCAAGAACCAGCAGGCAGUGAAGACAGAAACUCAGUAACAGCUGUAAUAAAGGGCUCUAGACACUCAACUGUGUUGCCUGCUCUUCAGCAGCUCCUGCAAGGCACUGGGCACUCUUCUUCAUUACCAAUGCAUCCUGAAGCUCUAGGUCAUGAUGAUUUGAUUCCACCUCCAUUUCAAGGGGCUGUCAAUGUAGCUGGUAGACCACAGCCUCUCCUGUUGUCCCGGACUCUCAACUGUACUAAGCACCAUGCUUCACAUGACACUAACAGGAGCACUCAGGAAAGCACAGUCCUAGUUUUACAAAGAGAUGCUGAUCACCAGAUGAUGACAAGUAAGCCUGAAAAAUCCACAUCCUCUGAGAGCCCCCGGGCUUCUUCUAAUUCACCUUCACUAGGGCAGUCACAAAUCGCCAUGGUAAACCUCUCCCAAACUACCAGAGAGCUAAAAGGAGCCACGUUUCCACCCCUUCCAAGUGCAUCUACCUUGGAGAAGGCAGCCCUUCCACCUUUAAGCACUCCUGCUGCUGUUCACGCAGCAAUUCCGCCACGAGCUACAUCUGUUCCUCCUUAUGCUGGAUUGCAGCCGAUGGGUGUCCCCACCUCUGCUGCGAGAGGACUCCACGUACUGACUUCAACUGCUGGUUCUGGGUCUCAGGUUCAAGGUGUUUCAGCCCAUCCUGGACCUCAGGAAGCAUUUGCUGCGAUGCCACAGAUGAGCACAGUGGAAGAUUCCAAGGGACAGAAAAGUCUUCCACAUCGGAUAGAUAAGGCUGGUUCUCCACUGACUCCACAAGCCAGCGUGGUCUCCAGCCCCUCUGGACUGCAUGAGGAGAACCAGAAAGCUUCUCGUGACAGCUCUGCCCCUUCAGCCUCCACGAUCCAGCAUGCUGGCAGCCUGGAAGCUUUUGUUGCCAGCUUGCACCCACCCCACGCACAGGAAAGCCAGUCCAGCACAACAACAGCACGUCCUGAGCCGGCAGUGCCCGUUGUUUCUCAGAUCCCAGCACAUCUGGCCCAAGCACUGCUGCAGCAGUUUGGUGCAUCGCAUGAUGCAGCUACCAAAAACCUCAGCAUUUUCAGAACUGAUCACCCCAAAAUGUUCCCAUCAUCUCUGUAUUUGUCCUUUCUGCUUAAGAAUACUGAUGGCAUGAUAUGCCUGCUUCCCAUGCAAGAGUCCCCUUUGCCUGCAAGUUUCCCUAAUAUCAGUGUUGGGACUCUGGUUUCUGUUCAGCAAAUCCUGGCAGCAUCAAAUUCUUCAUUAGUAGAUCUUGCAAACUUGCAAAAUGGAAGUCCUUCUAGCUUAAUUCUGGUUAAGCCUGUUUUUAUCCUUUUUCCCACGGACAGAGCAGACUUACAGAUGGUGCCCUCUCCUCAGGGUGAAGAUGACCACAGAAGUGCCCUCUUAUUCACAAACAAGCAAGGUCUGACCAUGGUUACCAAUGGACACAGCCGUGAUAUCCCAGAGAAAACCAGCUCCUCGUAUCCCACUAGUGAGUCUCUGAGACCUCAGACUGCUCUCUCCACUGCUCCUGACCAGCGAGCAGAGAAAGCAAAAGCAACUUCUCAGCCAGUGCUGACUACUGCGAGUUACGUGGCCAACCCUAGUUCCUUUCAAGCCACUGCCCCAGCAGCAGAUCACUUUCUGGACCUGCAGCUGAGGAUGAGCAUAGCAGCACAGGCUGCUCACCCGCAGGAGAUGCCUGAGGGGCUGCAGGCAGCGCCUGCCCCUUCCCUGGGGGCUGAGGAGCCUUCCCCUGGUGGUACGGCAACCAAGCCUCCUGCCCCCCCAAGGCAACCAGUACUGGUGCCUGCACAGCAUAGCCCUACAGCCCCCACAGGGUUUUUAAAAGCUGAAAAGCCUCUUUCUUCUUCUCUAACCCCUUUGCUGUCAGCAGUGGGGCUCACUGCUCUUCCGAUGCCAGCUCAGCCUCCAUUUACUGUCGCAGGGUCUGGGGAUCAGGGGCAGCGCGGUGUGGGACUGGCGCUACAGAGCACCACCCGUGGCCAGGGCUCAGUGAGCCCAUCUUCCUCUGCCCCAGUGCAGUGCACAGAGUGUUUGAGCUCAGCUGGAACUGUAAAAUAUCCAUUAAAGAUGUCCCCAAGCAUUGUGCCUUUGCCGUCCAUGUCACAAAGUCAGCCAAGCACCGAGUCACUCCAAAGGCUGCCGUCACAAGUUGCAUUUGUACCCAGCACCGUGUCGGCUUUCUCAGCAUUUCUAGCUGGAAAUGAUGGCAGAAGCUCAGCAGCGGACAGCACUGCUUCUUCUGGAGUCACUUUGCAUGCUAAAGCAGCAUCAGUCCCCCCCACCUCUAUAAAACCUGAUCUCACCACGCACUUGGAAUUUAUUACCAUCAUGCCCAAGCCCAUGGUCAGGAUGGAGACCCCAACAGCAGUACCAGCACGCACCAUGCAGUCAGCGAAGGUCAAAACAGCAGCUUCUGGGAAACUGCUGGUGACCAGCACCCCCCCAGAGAUGUACAGCACGUCCCCCGUGAGCCUGCCCUCACCGGUGUCUGUGCGAGUUCCCCUGCCAUCCGCUGCGAAACGUGACCAAAGCAGUCAAGCACCUUCUGCAUUGUCCUCACCAGCCAGUCUGGGAGAAAAUGGGAAACCAACCGAAGGCACAAGCCCAAGAAAACGGGGAUUCUUGGGAACCAGCACGUCCCUGCCGGCCGUGUUUAGCACAAAGGCAGAGCAGCCCCCUGCAGCAGCUCUUGGCAGCCAGACUGGUGUAGCUCCAGCACAGCCGUCUGCGGCUGCAGAGCCUGUGAUUGCUCUCGAGAGUGAGCCUAAAUUAACACAGACCACCUCGCCAUCUCCAUUAGCGGUGACUUCUCUCUCUGCAGCUAAGAAUGAUUAUAUCACCACUUCAGUUACCCCAAAAAAAGUGUUUUUCCUGCCAACAUCAGCUCUCCAAUCUGACCCAAAGGUGGUGUUUCCUACAAUGGCUGUAAUGAACAGCUCAGCUAAGGUCCCUGCAUCAGGGACAAAGAGUGAGGAUGUGUUUCUGGAAGGGGACACGGCCACUGCCAGCCAGGAGCUCAGCCAAGCAGCCACGUCCUCAGCACCUCAGGCCCGGGAGGAGAAGGUGCCCAGGGAAGCCCGCAUGGAGCAGGACGCUGCUGGGCAGCCCACGGGGCCAUCUACAGCAAAAUCACUUUCUGUACCUGCGAGUAAGGUUACCAGUGAGCCAGCUGCCUCCAAUAAAGCAGCUGAUGAUGAUGCUGAGACGCUCCUAACCAGAGACCUGAGACCACUGCCUCCUACCACAGAGAGCCCCUUGCGUCCUGCGGGGGCCAUGGCAGCACGCACAGCGGUGAGCGAUCCCCAGCUGGGUGCCACGGGCACGGAGGCCGAGGAGGAUGCCGAGGAGGAGGCCGGACCACACUGGGUGACCCACAGAGCCCCCACAGGCUCAGAACCUGCCCUUACACCCCUGGGUUCGGAGCUGAGUGACUCCCGGCAGAGGAGGGUUCUGCAGCAGGACGGUGCCGUUCUCAGCGGGAUCGCAGUUGUCAGCGAUGAGGCCUGCGGCUCUGGCAACUACACGGUGCAGAUGAGCCUGCGCCCUGUGGCAGAAGCGAGCCCGGAGCUGCAGGGCUCAGCGCUUCCCCAGGACACCUUCCUGGCCUCCCUGGCCAUGCGGAGCAGCAGCAGCCAGCCCGUGCUGCGGGUCCGCUCCUGCUGCGUGACACCCUCCAGCAGCCCGGGGGGCCCCGGCGCCGUGUGCUGCCUCCUCCCCAGGCUGCUACCUGAAUGCAGACACAUCCAGCUGCUGCAGAGCAGUGAGCCCAGAGCUGCCAGCUUCACCAUCCAGCUGUUCCAGAUGCUGAAUCACUCGGUGGCUUAUUUGCACUGCGAGCUCAGUGUGUGUCUGCACGGCAAACCGGGCUGUGAACAGGGCUGCAUUGACAGUGUGGAGCCGCUUCCCCAGCCAGGUGACAGGAACAGCCCUGGGCAGCUGCGCAACCUGAUCUCGUUUGGUCCAGUUCUGCGACUCAAGGACAGGUUUCUCUAUAAGCCUGUGCAAGGUCCCGAUUCUGCCGUGCUGGUGCCCAUUCUGCUGGGGUCCCUGACUGGCUUUGCUGUCCUGGGCAGUGCUUUCAUCAGCCUUUGGCUGCAUCACAGACAGAAAACCAAAAGCUCAGGUUGUCCACGGUUUGGAGAAAUCCGUGGCCUGUGAACUAGGAGCAGCUGACUUCUGCAGAUCCCACAGCACAGCUACAAUGAUCAGAAAAGCGACUGAUUCUGCAUUGCACACUGUAUUGCUUUGUAGAGCUUCUGCAGACCCAGGGCGCAAGCUCUCCAGCCUCUGCCUUAAGCGCAUCUCUCCUGCCUUUCUUCCCUUCAUUGUGAGCUGAUCCACAAGCUGCAGCAUAGAGAGGGCUGUAGGAGCAGCUCAGCUAAAAGGGAGAGCAGAGCUCACAAUGCCAUAUGUGCAAGCACCAGCACGCAGUCUGUUCACAGAAAUGGAAAAGUUGUCAGGGUGCAGGGAUCUACCUAAAAUAAAGCACUAGACUAGAGCCA